This 301-nucleotide ribosomal RNA is filed under the name uncultured bacterium. RNAcentral describes it as "partial 16S ribosomal RNA". It matches the Rfam family "Bacterial small subunit ribosomal RNA", at positions 509 to 807 of the family's 1533-position model. The record is from RNAcentral.
CAGUAGCCGCGGGAAUACUGAGGGAGCUAGCGUUGUUCGGAAUUACUGGGCGUAAAGCGCGCGUAGGCGGUUACUCAAGUCAGAGGUGAAAGCCCGGGGCUCAACCCCGGAACUGCCUUUGAAACUAGGUGACUAGAAUCUUGGAGAGGUCAGUGGAAUUCCGAGUGUAGAGGUGAAAUUCGUAGAUAUUCGGAAGAACACCAGUGGCGAAGGCGACUGACUGGACAAGUAUUGACGCUGAGGUGCGAAAGCGUGGGGAGCAAACAGGAUUAGAUACCCGAGUAGUCCCUGUCUCUUAUAC